Molecule: transfer RNA, 64 nt
Filed under: Phallospinophylus setosus
Lineage: Eukaryota; Metazoa; Arthropoda; Insecta; Hemiptera; Miridae
Description: tRNA-Pro
Source: RNAcentral
CAGUAAAUAGUUUAAUAAAAAUAUUAAUUUUGGAGAUUAAUGAUGAGGCCUGCCUUUUUACUGA